AUCUACGGCUACACCACCCUGAAUGUGCCCGAUCUCACCCGAUCUUGGAAGCUAAGCAGGGUUGGACCUAGUUAGUUCUUGGAUGGGACAACUCCUGCUCCAGAUCAGUAGUUCUGAACUAGGGUGUUGUAGGAC
RNAcentral lists this ribosomal RNA (135 nucleotides) under Prolemur simus (greater bamboo lemur). The record is from RNAcentral. Lineage: Eukaryota; Metazoa; Chordata; Mammalia; Primates; Lemuridae.